CCUCCAACUUCGGCUUGGCGCAGCGGUGGCGGCAGUUCUGGGCUCGCAGCCCGUUUCGGCCCCGGCCUGCGGGCGCCGCGGCGAACAGGGAAUAAACGAGUGAUCUAGAGGACAUGGCAUCUCAAAACGAGUCUCCACGGAACAUCCUGACUCUGGAAACAAAGGACUAUUCUGGCUGUCUCUGCCUUGCUGCCCCCUAAUGCAUGCUGUAUCACUGGAGUCCUGUAUGACCAGGAGAACACCUAACUGCAUCCACCUUCAUGACCCCAGUCUGCCCACAUGCUCUCCGACAAA
Long non-coding RNA from Suricata suricatta (meerkat), 294 nucleotides. RefSeq lists it as uncharacterized. The transcript has 3 exons. The record is from RefSeq and is a predicted model, not a curated record. Lineage: Eukaryota; Metazoa; Chordata; Mammalia; Carnivora; Herpestidae.